Helicoverpa zea (corn earworm) is the source of this 6104-nucleotide RNA transcript. It is a transcript of the gene named transcription factor p65, with no coding region annotated. The record is from RefSeq and is a predicted model, not a curated record. NCBI's taxonomy places the organism in Eukaryota, Metazoa, Arthropoda, Insecta, Lepidoptera, Noctuidae. The transcript has 12 exons.
GCGGCCAAUCGCCGGCAGUCGUUGCUAGUGUGAUGUCGGGACCUCACGCACACCACUAAGAUUUAUCAUUAGAGUUUUUGACGUUCACUAACCGGAGUAGUGUUACUUCACUACGAUACGUUUGAUACCUGAAUAUUUUUUACUUAAUUAAUUAACCGUAGUUAUCAAAAUUAGUGCCGCGCUUUAACAAUACAGUGCUAGUUCGCGACAUAAUCUGUGACAAUUCUUGGAACUACACGUCGAGACAAGAGACCUUGAUAACUAGUUACUUGGACGAGCGAGAGCGAAGAAACAGUUCACAGUUAUUAUUAUAGGAUCAUUCAUGCUGGAGGUACGUCUAUAGUUUACAAUUUGUGAAGUACAUCGUGUGUGUUUUCGAAUCAGUCGAUCGGUAUUAAGUUAAAAAGUGAGGUUUAGUGCGUUCAAAGUUCAUGAAAGUACACUCUGAAAGUGGGAAGUGUAAUGUUAUAAAACGAAACGAGUUAUGACGAAGUUAAUAUAAAUGUGCGUUUUGAUAUUGUCGCGUGCGGAAGGACCGCUGUGAGGUGUCCGCGGCCGCGGCCUAUUCGUACAGUGCCAUGGACAUCGGCGGAGAAAACGCCAUACGUAUAGGCGGUCCCCAGAAUGAGGAACAACUGAAUAUUAGUGAUGUUUUUGAGGCGAUUACUUUGGCGGAUCCGUCGUUCGGCGCGGGCGCAGGCGCCGGCAUAGACGAGAGCAUGGCGCGCCGCGACCAGCCCUACGUCGAGAUAGUCGAGCAGCCGGCCAGCAAGGCGCUCAGAUUUCGCUACGAGUGCGAAGGCCGGUCUGCAGGUUCGAUACCCGGCGUGAACAGCACGUCAGACAACAAGACUUACCCUACUAUUAGGAUAUGUGGCUUCACAGGACAGGUCGUCAUCGUCGUGUCCUGUGUCACCAAAGAUGAGCCUUACAGGGCACACCCCCACAACUUAGUGGGUCGUGAACGCUGCGAGCGAGGAGUCUGCACGAUCCCGACCCUCAUCACGAAGGAAACAUGCGAGUACCAGUUCAAGAACCUCGGCAUUCAGUGCGUGAAACGGCGCGACAUUGCCGAGGCACUCACAGUCAGGGAGAAGCUUAGAGUCGAUCCCUUUAGAAAAAACUUCGAUCACAAGAAUCACCCACAAAGCAUCGACUUGAACGCAGUUCGGCUAUGCUUCCAAGUGUUUCUGCCGGACGACUCGGGGCGGCUGCGUCGGCCGCUAGCCCCGGUCGUCUCCGACGUCAUCUACGACAAGAAGGCCAUGAGCGACCUGCUCAUCAUGAGGUCCAGCCACUGUUCUGGUACCGCUAGGGGUGGCACGCAGGUCAUUCUGCUUUGUGAGAAAGUAACCCGAGAAGACAUAGAAGUAGUGUUCUACCAGGAGGAGAACGGCAUCGUGGUGUGGGAGGAGAUGGCCAUCCGCAUCCUCGUGCACAAGCAGGUCGCCAUAGCCUUCGAGACGCCCGCCUACAAGUACCCCAACACCACGGACCAUGUUCAUGUCCACUUCCAGCUGAAGCGUCUGUCGGACAACGCCCGCAGCAACUCCCUGCCGUUCGAGUACAUCCCCGAGUUCACAGGUACCGCCCGCAAGCCCAGCCCCGACCUGUCCCUCUUCUCCCUCCUCCUCCGCCCCGACCCCAACAACAACACCAAGCCCGAGCCCGUCUCCUCCUCCACCGACAGCGCCACUCCCUCCGACGCCUCCGACUCCGCCCCGGGCGACGUCACCGUAGUACCCGACGUGCCCGACGUCACCGACGUACCCGACGUCAACGGCAACAUACCCACCACCGACGUCGAAAUCAUCGACACUAACGAGAAAAGCCUCAACGAACUCCUCGACCAGGUUGCCGAGCUAGACGAGAUAUACUCAGAGAACCGCACCCGCCUUGAGAACAUCGCCUCGCUCAACAACGAUAGCGAGGAGAUUGAAGAUUUUAACGACGCCGGCACUUACACCAGCUUACAACUCGCGUUCAAAAACCCCGUAGAGAUCUCUGAGCCCGACCCCAUGUCUUACGAAGAUGUACAAGUCCAAACAUACCGCGGUCCCAUCAUCGAGUUCAGUCCUCUAAAGCGCGACACAGACGACGAACGUGCCCCACCACUUCCUCCCAAACGUGUCCGCAAGGCCACCUCUACUGAACCGUUCAAAACCAGUCAGACUUCCGUAGACAGUAUCUUGAAACCUGGUCGUCAAAUACCCCUCACUCGCAACCUCGAUCAUUUGAAACUCAACUCCGAAAUGACGGUCGCUAAGAGCGAGCCCGCGUUACCUCCGGUAAAGAAACGUUCGUUCUUCUCCCGUCUCUUCAGGAGAAAGGAGAAAUCUCCCGCUCCUAGUGUGAAAUCUGAGGGCAGGAAAGAGGCCAAAUCUAAGCCUGUAGGCCGCUCAGUCAGUAGUGUAUCUGGUGUCCGUCCAUCCAAGUUUAAGUCCUCAGUAUCCCACACUUCUCUGAAAGACAAUGCAUCUGGUACUGGCCUAAGUUACGCCGACAGUAUCACUCACAUCUCUCUCCACGGAGAUGACAAUGAGAAGUCUACUUCUCAAUCUUCUUUACGUCGUCCAGCCAGCUUGGCUCCCCUGCCACCGACAGAUGGCGGCACUAUCCUCGUAGCCGAGAGUGUUCUAGCCUUAGACGCUUCUCAGUUCAAGAAGUUACAGGACGACCUGGAUCUGACAGACGCAGAACAUUAUGCGUUGUAUAUGGCAGUAGCCCCGCAUGCCACAGUGUCGGAGUUCGAUGAAACUAGUUGCUACUACUCGCCCAUAGAUGCCAGCAAGUUUCAAAAUCAAUAGACCGACAAACUGGCAGAUUUAAUUUAAUCGUCCAUUGUACGGAAUAAAGAGGUUUUGAGAGUCAGCGGCUUAGAGAAAGAUGGUUUAUUUUGUCUACCAUCGUGAAAAUCGGUGCCGAAUCUUUCUAAGAUGUAGAAGUUUCCCAACGAAGGUCUAAAUUUCCGCCCAAGAUGCCAAAUUUACUCAACUUUUUACAGAUUUUCGACGAUUUUACAUACUGUGAAAUGUGAAUGUAAUGUUCUUGUAUAAUUAUGAUCCACUUUCUUUCUUACCACUUAAUUAUUUGAAAAACUGUAUGAUUGUUAUUAUUUGUAAUUUAUGUUUAACGUAACAACUUGAAUGUUCUAGAUGUGAGUAAUAAGAGGCGGAAGGUGGUAAGCGACAUGUUACGAAACUACGAAAUUGACAGAAUCUAUUCACCGGAGCAGAUCAAGUCGGAACCAAGAGACCGGACUCCGCCACACCAUAACAUUAGCAGUCCGCCACUCCACGGCUACGCGCCGCCCUACGAACAGAAUUGGAACAUAGACAACCUGCAGGGCGGCAUGGCAGUCCCGGGCCCGAGCCACGUCAGCCCGGCGGCAGCCGCCCACGGCAACCUGUUCGUGCAGGAGUCGGCCAUGUGGGCCAACCCGCAGUACGGCCAGCUGUCCCCUGGCCAUAUGCAGCCUGGCAUGCCCCAGAACUUACAAGUGUUACAGCCCAAUAUGCAGGCCAUGUCUCCCAGUAUGCAGCCUAUGUCGCCCAACAUGCAGCCGCUGUCACCCAACAUGGCGUACGGAGAACGCAUGUCGCCCAACGUGGCCGUCAUGUCACCCCACGGCCAGGUCAUGUCUCCCCACGGCCAGGCCCUGCCUUCCCACGCCCCCGGCAUGUCCCCGCACGGGCCCGGCAUACAGGCCAUGUCUCCCCUCGGCCGCGUGUCGCCCAACGUGCAGCAGAACAUGGGCCACAUCUCGCCUAACCUACAGCAGCAGCCUGCUUAUGUACAGCAGCCUCCUCAGCACCAAGCGGCGGCUGGGUCGCUGAUGGAGACGGAGACGCACAGCACGACGUCGCUGAGCAACCUGCUGCUGGACCGCGGCGAGCACUCGCUGCUGCUGAACUCGGGCGAGCUGGCCGGCCUGUCCGCGCUGCUCGGCGACCGCGCGCACGACUCGCAGCCCGCGCUCGACUACUGAACACGCACCAUACAGUCAAAACAAUAUUUCAAAAUAUGUGUUACAUGUUUCUUGACUCAUUUCAAGGAUUUCUAGCCGAUUUUGGAAACUCCAUCCAUUUUGUAUUUGAAUUUCGCAAUAUUUUUGUAACCUUGUCACCCCGAGUCCGCGGGUAAGAUAAGGCUUGUUUGGUAUCUCGUUUAUGGACUAUAUCAUCUGUCUAACUAAAUACUAAUGAAUGUUCUUGAAAUUAUCCUCAAUUUCCUAGGACUCCGUGGAAUGCGUAACGUUAAGAAAUGCCGAUUUAGGACAUUAAUUUAAUGUAAUAAAUAAGUUUGAAAGUAAGCUACAGUAGCACUCUAGUUUAUAAACGAAUUUAAUUCUCGGACUUUACGUAAUACGCGACCGCGACGAUGCGACGGACGCUGACUUCGGCUUGUAAGUAAUCUAAGACUUCUAUGUUUAUUAUUAACGUCAAAUAGUUUUAUUUGUACCGAUCUGGGAUUUUGUAAGAAGUACACAAUGUUAUGGAGCUUGAUACGCAGCUUUGUCAGAUGUUUUCACCAGUUUCUUUAUUAGCAAGCUAACUAACCUACUCUAACUAAUACAGCCGUUUUAGUGUGCUUUUUAUUUUAUUAACAUCAUAUUUGUGUUAAAAAUGUCUUCCGAGUUUGAACGUACAUUUAACAUUAUUAUAUUUUAACACGAACUGUCUUCCAGAUGUUGUAUUAAUUCAUAGUAGAUGAUCUCUGAAUACUGUAACAUCACAUUUUUUACAUAUUUGGUGCUUUUACUAACUUUUUAUUUUGUGUUUUGAAACAUUUACAACCUGGAAAAUUAAACCAGAAAAUAAUAUAAAAGGAAUUAAUCAAAUUCUUAUUUAUUGUUAAAAGUUUAUUAGAGCAAAAAUUUAUGUAAAUAUCGAGAUAUUUUUAACUUCGUAAUUAUUAUUUUCUGCUUUAAAUUUUAAUCAUGUUAACAUUUAAGCGAGAAUGUAACUCGAUAGUUAAGUGAGAUGUUUAACUUCCAAUACCGUUUCUACUUGAUAGAAAUGACUAUCUGGGAAUCUGUUAUAGGAUAGCAUGCGAUUUUGUUCACAAAAUACGUACUAUGAAAUUUGUGUCACGAGUGCUGUAGUAAUACUUGGUCUUAUUAACUUUGAUAAAACGGGAAACUAAUAUACAAGACUUACCUACAUUUCAUAUACAUAUAUACCAGAAGUUUUGUAACAUUCAUAAAUUGAUGGUUGCAUGAGCUAACUGCCGCGUGUAACUCAAGUGACAAUAUAAGGACUUUAAUUCUUAUUGUCGUGACAACUGUUCAGGCAGGACUGGAAAGGACAUCAUGCUUGUAAUAAAAUAGCAUGUUGUAUGAAAUAUUAACUAUUUCCUUGCCUAGCCUGAGUGCUCUGAGAUUUCAUAAUUCAAUGAAAUUAAGUUACGGGAUAAUUUAUAUUUACUGAAAUGUGUCAUGUGAUACGGAGUAAUGAGAAGUGGCAAAAUGACGACUUGACUAGAAUUACUUUUUAUAAUUUCCCAAUACUACUCCCAAAAUGAGUGAUAAAGCUUACAUUUUAUUACUUUCUAAAGAUAAUGAGAUUUUGUAAAUCUUGAGUUUAAUGAAAUUAGUUUGUUUAAAGAUUUAUUCUCAUUAAGUUGUAGUUUUAUUAUUAAAUGCUUUUUUGGUUAUGAUUUGUUACCAAAUAGUUUGUAAAUAGAUGUUUUCUAAAAGAAAAGAGAGGGAAUAGUAAUAAAUUAUGUUGUACACGGAAGAUUUUUAAAAUUACCGGCAACUUUUUUUAAAUGUGUUUUAAAGACUUAAUUACCAUUAAAUAAAAGCCAGAAUACUUAGCACUUUGAUAAUUUUCAUUCCAUUCUUAAAUGUUUUUAAAACAAUAGAUUUACGAGACUUUGUUUCCUUACAGAGAGAUGAACUAAAUUGUUUCAUACUUACGCUAGAACUUAUGACUACGAUAAUUAUAAAAACAUCCUCGAUUUAGUUAUGUUAAGUAAGAGAUCAGACAUCACAACGUUGGUACAGUAAUGAUCGAAUGUGUAGGUAAUAUGAAAGCAUUCAAAAUGCCAGUUUUGUUAUAUUUUUGAAAAAAAAAUACAAUAAAAGUAUAAUAUUUGAAAAA